UGGUCCUAGCCUUAUAAUCAACUAUUACUUAACUUACACAUGCAAGUCUCCGCACCCCUGUGAGAACGCCCUUUUUUCCUUCCGGAACAAGGAGCUGGUAUCAGGCUCAAAUAUUAGCCCAAAACACCUAGUUAUACCACAUCCUCACGGAAACUCAGCAGUGAUUAACCUUGAAAAUAAGCGACAGCUUGAUUCAGUUAAAGUAAAAAGAACCGGCAAAUCUGGUGCCAGCUGCCGCGGUUACACCACGAGGUUCAAAUUGAUUAUCUUCGGCGUAAAGCGUGGUUAAAGUAAACAAAAUUUUAGCUAAAUUAAAUUUAGGCUGUAGAAAGCUCUUAUUUAAGAAAACCAAAACGAAAGUUACUAAAAUCAAAAUCACUUGAAUCCACGACAGUUGGGACACAAACUGGGAUCAGAUACCCCACUAUGCCCUACUAUAAACUUUUAAUUACAUAAUAUCGCCAGGGGACUACAAGCAAAGCUUAAAACCCAAAGGACUUGACGGUAUUCCAUAUCCAUCUAGAGGAGCCUGUCCUAUAAUCGAUGAUCCCCGUUUAACCUCACCAUUUUUAGCCUAUCAGCCUGUAUACCUCCGUCGCCAGCUUACCACAUGAGUGAACUCAGUAAGUUAAAUGUUCAUUCAUCAAUACGUCAGGUCAAGGUGCAGCAAAUAAAAUGGAAAGAGAUGGGCUACAUUCUCUACUUUUAGAGUAUACGAAAGACUACAUAUGAAAUCUAGUCAGAAGGAGAAUUUAGUAGUAAAAAGACACAAGAGAGCUCUUUUUAACACGGCACUGGAAUGUGUACACACCGCCCGUCACCCUCUUCGAAACAAUUUAAUAUAGUACAUAACACAAUUUUACCUGAGAGAAGAGGCAAGUCGUAACAUGGUAAGCUUACCGGAAGGUGUGCUUGGAAA
RNAcentral lists this non-coding RNA (919 nucleotides) under Phyllodytes gyrinaethes. RNAcentral's name for it is "partial 12S ribosomal RNA". It matches the Rfam family "Bacterial small subunit ribosomal RNA". Lineage: Eukaryota; Metazoa; Chordata; Amphibia; Anura; Hylidae. The record is from RNAcentral.